UCGGUGCCAUGAGUACAUUCAUAUUUUGUUCCCUUUGUGUAGUGUCUUAUCGUGUUGCAUUUUGUCCUGUUUGGUCAAUGGGGUAGAGAGCAAGCCACAUAACCAUACACCUAGAGAGGAGACUCCACCCAUGAACAGGUCAGUAACACUCCAGACCCACCUACAGAGGCAGGAAGAAGGUGGCAGUGAGGGAGAGAGCCUGUGUGGGUGAGUG
Molecule: long non-coding RNA, 214 nt
Organism: Myotis davidii
Lineage: Eukaryota; Metazoa; Chordata; Mammalia; Chiroptera; Vespertilionidae
Exons: 3
Source: RefSeq, a predicted model, not a curated record